CCUACGGGUGGCAGCAGUGGGGAAUCUUGGGCAAUGGGCGCAAGCCUGACCCAGCAACGCCGCGUGAAGGAAGAAGGCUUUCGGGUUGUAAACUUCUGUUAAGAGGGAAGAGCAGAAGACGGUACCACUUGAAUAAGCCACGGCUAACUACGUGCAAGCAGCAGCGGUAAGACGUAGGGGGCAAGCGUUAUCCGGAUUUACUGGGUGUAAAGGGAGCGUAGACGGUUGCACAAGUCUGGAGUGAAAGCCCGGGGCUUAACCCGGGAACUGCAUGGGAAACUGUUGGACUGGAGUGCAGGAGGGGAGAGCGGAAUUCCAAGUGUAGCGGUGGAAUGCGUAGAUAUAAGGAGGAACACCGGUGGCGAAGGCGACUUACUGGACUGUAACUGACGCUGAGGCUCGAAAGCAUGGGGAGCGAACAGGAUUAGAUACCCCGGUAGUC
RNAcentral lists this ribosomal RNA (442 nucleotides) under uncultured bacterium. Its description in RNAcentral is "partial 16S ribosomal RNA". It matches the Rfam family "Bacterial small subunit ribosomal RNA", at positions 338 to 795 of the family's 1533-position model. The record is from RNAcentral.